GCUGGCGGCGUGCUAAUACAUGCAAGUCAACUUGACUUUAGAUAGCAAUAUCGAAAGUAGGGUGCGGCACGGGUGCGUAACGCGUAGGUAAUCUGCCCUGAGGUCUGACAUAACCCGUCGAAAGGCGGGCUAACAUCAGAUGAUAUAUAGUCACGACAUCGUGGAAAUAUCAAAUCUUCGGAGCCUUGGGAUGAGCCUGCGUCUGAUUAGGUAGUUGGCGGAGUAAUAGCCCACCAAGCCUACGAUCAGUAGCUGGUCUGAGAGGAUGAUCAGCCACACUGGAACUGAGACACGGUCCAGACUCCUACGGGAGGCAGCAGUAAGGAAUAUUGCUCAAUGGGGGAAACCCUGAAGCAGCAACGCCGCGUGAAGGAUGAAAUACUUUUGUAUGUAAACUUCUGUAAGAUGGGAAAAAUAUUCUCCUCGGGAGAAUUGAUUGUACCAUCAGAGUAAGCCCCGGCUAACUACGUG
This 471-nucleotide ribosomal RNA is filed under the name uncultured bacterium. RNAcentral describes it as "bacterial SSU rRNA". It matches the Rfam family "Bacterial small subunit ribosomal RNA", at positions 35 to 507 of the family's 1533-position model. The record is from RNAcentral.